Molecule: microRNA precursor, 103 nt
Filed under: Marmota monax (woodchuck)
Lineage: Eukaryota; Metazoa; Chordata; Mammalia; Rodentia; Sciuridae
Source: RNAcentral
AAUGUGGUUGCUGGAUCAUUUGGUAAGAAUGUAUUUAGUUUUGAAAGAAAAUGCCAUGAUAUCUUCCAAAGUGUCUCUACCAUUUUCUAUUUCCACAAGCAAA